RNAcentral lists this ribosomal RNA (588 nucleotides) under Hammondia heydorni. RNAcentral's name for it is "LSU rRNA". It matches the Rfam family "Eukaryotic large subunit ribosomal RNA", at positions 417 to 938 of the family's 3401-position model. The record is from RNAcentral. Lineage: Eukaryota; Apicomplexa; Conoidasida; Eucoccidiorida; Sarcocystidae.
AAGCGAUUGGGACCCUUCCGAUUCCAAGAAGUGCCGCCGGUUUGCCAUCUAUCCCUUUGCCUUCUCUCUCUCACCAGGUUUAGGCUUAGGUUUCUCGAUGUAUUUCCGGUUAAUCUUUUUGGAGAGGUCAGCAUCAGCUACUCGGAAUUGAUUUCGUUCAAAGAAGGUAGGUUCCUUGUGGACCCUUAUAUCUUUGUUCUUUCCUUUUCCUUGUGGCUGAGGAGUGUUUUGGUUUCCGAGCUCCACUUUCGAGUACUCGGUUUCUGUGAUGCUGGCUUAAUCGGUUCCAACCGACCCGUCUUGAAACACGGACCAAGGAGUCUAACAUAUGUGCGAGUAUGCGGGUUUUACUCCUGUAUGCGCAAUGAAAGUGAGAGUAGGGAGAUUUUGGCUUUGCCAUUCUUCGCACCUACGACCGACCACGAUCUCUGAGAGAGGUUUGAGUUGGAGCAUAUCUGUUAGGACCCGAAAGAUGGUGAACUAUGCCUGAGUAGAAUGAAGUCAGGGGAAACCCUGAUGGAGGUUCGUAGCGAUACUGACGUGCAAAUCGUUCGUCAAACUUGGGUAUAGGGGCGAAAGACUAAUCGA